RNAcentral lists this ribosomal RNA (1356 nucleotides) under uncultured marine eukaryote. Its description in RNAcentral is "SSU rRNA". It matches the Rfam family "Eukaryotic small subunit ribosomal RNA", at positions 411 to 1779 of the family's 1831-position model. The record is from RNAcentral.
CACUUCUAAGGAAGGCAGCAGGCGCGCAAAUUACCCAAUCCUGACUCAGGGAGGUAGUGACAAGAAAUAACAAUAAACCGGCUUAUGCCGGUUUAAUUGGAAUGAGUACAAUUUAAACAUCUUAACGAGGAACAAUUGGAGGGCAAGUCUGGUGCCAGCAGCCGCGGUAAUUCCAGCUCCAAUAGCGUAUACUAAAGUUGUUGCAGUUAAAAAGCUCGUAGUUGGAUUUCUGUGGGGACGGAGCGGCCGGCCGCAACACGCGGUUCGAGCUAGCGCUUUCCCUACAUCCUGCCGCGAACCGUGCUACCAUUAGUUUGGUGGCGCCGGGGAUCGGCUCGAUUACUUUGAGAAAAAUAGAGUGUUCAAAGCAGGCCACACGCCUUGAAUAAGUUAGCAUGGAAUAAUAACUAAGGACUUCGGUUCUAUUUUGUUGGUGUUCGGGACUGAAGUAAUGAUUGAUAGGGACAGUUGGGGCGGUCUGUAUUCCAAAGCGAGAGGUGAAAUUCUUAGACCUUCGGAAGACAAACAGCUGCGAAAGCGUUCCGCGAGGAUGUUCCCUUUGAUCAAGAACGAAAGUUGGGGGAUCGAAGACGAUCAGAUACCGUCGUAGUCUCAACUAUAAACUAUACCAGCUAGGGAUCGGCCAACGUUAUUCUAUACCGACUUGGUCGGCACCUUAUGAGAAAUCAAAGCAUCUGGGUUCCGGGGGGAGUAUGGUCGCAAGGCUGAAACUUAAAGGAAUUGACGGAAGGGCACCACCAGCCGUGGAGCCUGUGGCUUAAUUUGACUCAACACGGGAAAACUUACCAGGUCCAGACAUAGUAAGGAUUGACAGAUUGAUAGCUCUUUCUUGAUUCUGUGGGUGGUGGUGCAUGGCCGUUCUUAGUUGGUGGAGUGAUUUGUCUGGUUAAUUCCGUUAACGAACGAGACCCCAGCCUGCUAAAUAGCGCGCGUGAGCUUUGCUCGCGGCGAGCUUCUUAGAGGGACUAUGAUGCGCGAUAGCACAUGGAAGUUUGGGGCAAUAACAGGUCUGUGAUGCCCUUAGAUGUUCUGGGCCGCACACGGGCUACACUGGCGCCUGCAACGAGCAUAUCAGCUGGCCCGAGAGGGUCUUGGCUAAUCUUUUGAACCGGCGCCGUGCUUGGGAUUGACCUUUGCAAUUGUUGGUCAUGCAACGAGGAAUGCCUUGUAAACGCGAGUCAUCAGCUCGCAUUGAAUACGUCCCUGCCCUUUGUACACACCGCCCGUCGCUCCUACCGAUGAAUGUUCCGAUGAAAUUUUCGGAGAGUGCCUGUGAACUUGGCUCUGCCUUGCGAACGGGAAGCUCAAAGUCACUUAAAUCUGAACAUUUCGAGG